Molecule: long non-coding RNA, 935 nt
Filed under: Monodelphis domestica (gray short-tailed opossum)
Lineage: Eukaryota; Metazoa; Chordata; Mammalia; Didelphimorphia; Didelphidae
Description: lncRNA (ENSMODG00000036830.1)
Source: RNAcentral
CUCCUCAUUCCCUAUUUUAAUACCUUCAAUUUCUUUUUCUUCUCUAAUUGCUUCAGCUAAUGUUUCUAGUACAAUGUUAAAUAAUAGAGGUGGUCUUAUUGGGAAGGCUUCUAGUUUGUCCCCAUUGCAGAUGAUGAUGUUCCCUGGUACUGUGUAUACUUGGCAUACCCACUUUUCUGUCAUUCCUGGUCUUUACUCAAUCUUUUUUGUUGCCUCCCUCCUCUUUCCAAGGACCAGGACAGAGAUUCCUUGAAUUAAUAAUAAUGACAGAAGAAUUCAUUUUUCUGAGAUGGAGAAAACCUUACCAAAGCUGUAUAGGGAAUGCCAAUGCUGAUUAUUCUCAUUUUUAAAAUAAGGAAACUUGAGUCUGAAAGAGGUUAAUAGGCAAGAAAGGCAGAGGCAUAGAUGAGAGAAUAGCAAUAAACCAGGGAUGAAGGGAGCCCUGGUGACAAAAAGGACACGGGAUUCUCUCUGUGGUCAAGGAGAUGGCAGUGAGAGGGGUAAAUUCACUCACUUACCCAUGGUCCUCUUUGGAGAGUGCAGUGCCAAGGGUGACAAGCCUCACCUGGCUGAGAUUGAGGUUUGUUUGGGCCCCAUUGUCACAGCAACAAGGGAAUGUUUGGUAACAAAGCCAGUGAUCUCACAGAAGCUGGUCAUAGCCCCACCUUCUUGAAGCUCAGGGAAGAGCAGAGACAUCCAGGAGAGAACUUGGAGGAAGAGGAAGACAAUAGAUUCCUUGGAAGAGCUGUGAGUCCUAGAAAACUACUGUCCCGUGAACAGAUCAUGAGGAAAUUGUGGUAUCCUGGAGGGACACCAGAUGGAACCAAAAGACCAUGUUAUUUAAGUCAAUUAGUCAAAAACUAAAACCUUAAUUUACAAUGAAAAAAGUUUUUUAAAAAAAUAAACAAUCUAAAUGACUACUUUCCUGAGCCUGU